CAGCACUGAACCUCGUGUCUCCGGAUACCGAGGAAUGUAGUGUUCAGGAGAGAGGUGGUUUGCCUGUCCGGUGAUUGUCCAAGUCCCCAUGAUCGGGGCUAGAGUCCGCAGAGGGUGUCAGGCCCGUAGUGACGCACCGCGACCGUGAACGCUUGAUCUCCUAAGAGUCGGGUUGCUUGAGAGUGCAGCCCUAAGCGGGAGGUAAACUCCUUCUAAGGCUAAAUACCGCCACGAGACCGAUAGCAAACAAGUACCGCGAGGGAAAGUUGAAAAGAACUUUGAAGAGAGAGUUCAAGAGUGCGUGAAACCGUUCAGGGGGUUAAACGGGUGGGCCCUCGAAGGUCGAACGGCAUCUACUCCCGUUACCUGCAUACGAGCCUGCGCUGGGACGAGUCGCAUUCUGCGGCCGCCGAGUGUGGUACGCUUGGGGCGUGCAGGGACCGCUAGUUGGAUGCCUAGUAGGACUCCGCAACCGGCUGGGGUGAUACGGUCGUCAGACGGGUCUUGAAGAGCGGCCUCCUUGUGGGGCUGUCUUUUUGAGAUUCCCGGCGACCACUCGGCCGUUGAGUGCUGCCUCGCUGUUCCUCAUGGAUGGACGAGCGUUUUGACCUUUGCGGGGAGAAGCGUUGUCGGUUCGUUCGAGGCUCCGGUGAGAAGCGCGGAGAGUAGGUCGGGUCCCACCCGACCCGUCUUGAAACACGGACCAAGGAGUCUAACAUGUGCGCGAGUCGUCGAGUUGUACCAAACUCGAAGGCGCAAUGAAAGUAAAGGCUAGGCUUGCCCUAGCUGAGGGGAGAUCCCGUUUCUGCUUCGGUAGCGCGGGCGCAUCCCCGGGGCGUCUAGACUGCGUUGCCAGUCGGACGCACCUAGAGCGUACACGUUGGGACCCGAAAGAUGGUGACCUAUGCCUGGCCAGGACGAAG
This 923-nucleotide ribosomal RNA is filed under the name Triops australiensis. Its description in RNAcentral is "partial large subunit ribosomal RNA". It matches the Rfam family "Eukaryotic large subunit ribosomal RNA", at positions 110 to 851 of the family's 3401-position model. The record is from RNAcentral. Lineage: Eukaryota; Metazoa; Arthropoda; Branchiopoda; Notostraca; Triopsidae.